CCGGUGGUGGGGAGUUACGUACCACAAGGAUCUUUUUUUUUUUUUUUUUUUCAUCUUUUUUUUUCUGUUUAAACCACUGUGUGCUUCUCCGGGAGGUGGGUUUGGUUUGGGGGCUGUAUUUGGGAGGGGUGCUUGCAAUGUGCAGCCACCUGAGAUGCAGCCUCCUGGCCAAGAGCUGCCUUGGCCGGGGAUUUGCAGGCGGGGAGCUGGGACAGCAGCAGGUGAGCACCGUGGGCAGCCACUGCGGCUGCUGAGUAUCACAUACCCCUUGGCCCUGCCAGAGCCCCACCGGCUGCUGGCCCCUUGGUGCGGCCAGGGUGGCCUCAUGGGAUCCGAGCUGGCUUUUUCCCAGCGGCACCAUUUAAACGUGAGUUGCCCAAGCUCUCUGGAGCCUUCUCGCUGCCCAUCCUUGAGCCAAAAUGAGCCAGCAUGUUGUUACGGCAGCUGCCCAAACCAGCCAUCUUCCCCCGAGGCUGGGGCGGACCCGAGGGACGUGGCUCUCUGGGGGCCAGCGGGUCUUUCCCUCUUGGUGGGAUGCGUGAUGCCGGAGAGACCGCGUGGCUUCACGCCAAAUAUACUUGAAAGCAGAGUUGGAGUUUCUCAUGCAUGAGGCUCCGACUCGAUGCACAGAAAUCCCGAGCAGGUAGCUGGCCUGUUUGCUCCUGCCAAGCUCGGGGCCGGGAGGUGGCUCUCCAUCGCCCGACGGAUCGGCCCUUUCAACGAUCAAGCCCUUCUGUGGCCAGCUAAGAUGCACAGAGGUUUUAUUUUUUAAAUGCACAUCUGUAAAACUGAGGCCAAUGAGGAGCACUGCAAUGAACACUGGGUUUUAUUGGCAUCCAGCUUCCUAGAAAUGGAGUUUGUGUUUUGCAGUUUCUCACCUGUGGCUCUGCCCUCUGCGUGGGGGCUGGGGGGGAGAGGGGGGGGUUCGCCUGUGGGCUUGGGCAAGUCCCCAUGUCCAAAAAGCCUGAAACCAGCCCCCAGCAGUGCCAUUACCCCAUUAGAGCCCCUGUGGGCAGAAAUAGGGGUGGGUUUAGGCAGUGAUCAGCUUCCUAAAGAUCUUUUAUAAUAAAUAAAGCCAUAAAGUG
Long non-coding RNA from Aptenodytes forsteri (emperor penguin), 1085 nucleotides. RefSeq lists it as uncharacterized. NCBI's taxonomy places the organism in Eukaryota, Metazoa, Chordata, Aves, Sphenisciformes, Spheniscidae. The record is from RefSeq and is a predicted model, not a curated record. The transcript has 2 exons.